CCCUCCGAGUCGUCAUCAGGGGCAGGAGCGGGGGACCCACCUCCACCGGCCGGCGCCGAUCCGCGGUGUCGACCUAGGGGUGAAGCUCGACGCGUGAAGGUCACGCGAGAGCCGGGCAGCCCAGCCCGAACCCGACAGCUCACUUCGCAGGCGCACGGGAAGGAAUA
Molecule: small RNA, 167 nt
Filed under: Frankia sp.
Lineage: Bacteria; Bacillati; Actinomycetota; Actinomycetes; Frankiales; Frankiaceae
Description: c-di-AMP sequence
Rfam family: c-di-AMP riboswitch aptamer (ydaO/yuaA leader)
About the family: This family represents a conserved RNA structure found upstream of the ydaO and yuaA genes in Bacillus subtilis and related genes in other bacteria.
Source: RNAcentral